RNAcentral lists this ribosomal RNA (492 nucleotides) under uncultured bacterium. RNAcentral describes it as "partial 16S ribosomal RNA". It matches the Rfam family "Bacterial small subunit ribosomal RNA", at positions 29 to 507 of the family's 1533-position model. The record is from RNAcentral.
AGUGAACGCUGGCGGCAGGCCUAACACAUGCAAGUCGAACGGCAGCACAGUAAGAUCUUGCUCUUACGGGUGGCGAGUGGCGGACGGGUGAGGAAUACAUCGGAAUCUACUCUUUCGUGGGGGAUAACGAAGGGAAACUUACUCUAAUACCGCAUACGACGUACGGUGGAAAGCAUGGGAUAGUCUGACCUUGCGGGAUUGGAUGCGCCGAUGUCGGGUUAGCUGGUUGGGGGGGUAAAGGCCUAGCAAGGCGACGAUCGGUGGCUGGUGUGAGAGGAUGGUCGGCCACACUGGAACGGAGACACGGUCCAUGCUCCUACGGGAGGCAGCAGUGGGGAAUAUUGGGCAGUGGGCGCAAGCCUGAUCCAGCCAUCCCGCGUGGGUGACGAAGGCCCUCGGUUCGUAAAGCCCUUUUGUUGGGUAAGAAACGCAGCAGGUUGAUACGCCGCUUUUCUGACGGUACUCAAAGAAUAAGCACCGGCUAACUUCGUG